RNAcentral lists this ribosomal RNA (1148 nucleotides) under groundwater metagenome. Its description in RNAcentral is "bacterial SSU rRNA". It matches the Rfam family "Bacterial small subunit ribosomal RNA", at positions 358 to 1520 of the family's 1533-position model. The record is from RNAcentral.
GGAAUAUUGGACAAUGGAGGCAACUCUGAUCCAGCCAUGCCGCGUGAAGGAUGAAGGCCCUACGGGUUGUAAACUUCUUUUCUCUUAGAAAAAACUACUGGUUUCGUACCGGUACUGAUUGUACAAGAGGAAUAAGCAUCGGCUAACUUCGUGCCAGCAGCCGCGGUAAUACGAAGGAUGCAAGCGUUAUCCGGAUUCACUGGGUUUAAAGGGUGUGCAGGUGGGGUAAUAAGUCAGUGGUGAAAGCCCCCGACUCAAUCGGGGAACUGCCAUAGAUACUGUUAUUCUUGAGUGUGGUUGAGGCGGAUGGAAUAUGACAUGUAGCGGUGAAAUGCUUAGAUAUGUCAUAGAACACCGAUCGCGAAGGCAGUCCGCCAAACCAUUACUGACACUGAAACACGAAAGUGCGGGGAUCAAACAGGAUUAGAUACCCUGGUAGUCCGCACCGUAAACGAUGAUCACUCGUUGUUGGCGAUACACAGUCAGCGACUAAGCGAAAGCAUUAAGUGAUCCACCUGGGAAGUACGACCGCAAGGUUGAAACUCAAAGGAAUUGACGGGGGCCCGCACAAGCGGAGGAGCAUGUGGUUUAAUUCGAUGGUACGCGAGGAACCUUACCUGGGCUUGAAAGACAGUUGACCGUCUCUGAAAGGAGACUUUCGCAAGACAACUGUCUAGGUGCUGCAUGGCUGUCGUCAGCUCGUGCCGUGAGGUGUCGGGUUAAGUCCCAUAACGAGCGCAACCCCUAUUUCUAGUUGCCAUACCUUAAUUGGUGGAACUCUAGAGAAACUGCCAGCGUAAGCUGUGAGGAAGGAGGGGAUGACGUCAAGUCAGCACGGCCCUUACGUCCAGGGCUACACACGUGCUACAAUGGCCGGUACAAUGGGUCGCUACACAGCAAUGUGAUGCUAAUCUCAAAAACCGGUCCCAGUUCGGAUUGAAGUCUGCAAUUCGACUUCAUGAAGCUGGAUUCGCUAGUAAUCGGAUAUCAGCUACGAUCCGGUGAAUACGUUCCCGGGCCUUGUACACACCGCCCGUCAAGCCAUGGAAGUUGGGAGUACCUGAAGUCCCCGAGCAAUCGGAGCCUAGGGUAAAACCAAUGACUGGGGCUAAGUCGUAACAAGGUAGCCGUACCGGAAGGUGCGGCUG